Non-coding RNA from Hipposideros armiger (great roundleaf bat), 374 nucleotides. The record is from the annotation of a RefSeq genome assembly. Lineage: Eukaryota; Metazoa; Chordata; Mammalia; Chiroptera; Hipposideridae.
GAUCUAAUGUUGCCCAGAAGGUCACUCAAAGCCAACCAGCAAUGUUAGUGCAGGAGCAGGAGGCCGUGACCCUGGACCGCACAUACGACACCACUGAGAGCAGUUAUAGUCUAUUCUGGUACAAGCAGCUCAGCACUGGGGCAAUGAUUUUCCUUAUUCGUCAGGACUGUUAUAGCCAGCAAAAUGCCACACAAGGUCGCUACUCUUUGAAUUUUCAGAAAGCAUACAAAUCUGCCAACCUUGUCAUCUCAGCUUCACACCUGGAAGACUCCGCAUUGUAUUUCUGUGCCCUGAGGGAGCCCACAGUGAGAUGUGUGUUUGAAGGAGGUGUAUCAAAACCCCAGGGCUCUUCUUCAUGCAUCCAUCUGCUGUAG